GUGAGGCGGACGGCCGCAAUGAACUUGUUUUCAUUGAGGAAAGUCCGGACUCCGAAGGGCACCGUAGCAGGUAACGCCUGUCCGCCGCAAGGCGAGGAUUAGAGCAACAGAGACGAGCCGAUUCAGUUCGGGUGAAACGGGCAAUCUCUACGGGGAGUAACACCAAGUAAGCAGUCUUUGACCCGGCCCGGUGAGACUGCGGGUAGGUGGCUGGAGGCUCUGCGUGAGCAGAGUCCGAGAUGAAUGGUCGUCACUGCGGUUUUCGAAAGAAAGCCGCGGCACAGAAUCCGGCUUAUAGCUU
Molecule: RNase P RNA, 301 nt
Filed under: uncultured Duodenibacillus sp.
Lineage: Bacteria; Pseudomonadati; Pseudomonadota; Betaproteobacteria; Burkholderiales; Sutterellaceae
Description: Bacterial RNase P class A
Rfam family: Bacterial RNase P class A
About the family: Ribonuclease P (RNase P) is a ubiquitous endoribonuclease, found in archaea, bacteria and eukarya as well as chloroplasts and mitochondria. Its best characterised activity is the generation of mature 5'-ends of tRNAs by cleaving the 5'-leader elements of precursor-tRNAs. Cellular RNase Ps are ribonucleoproteins.
Source: RNAcentral